AACCCAUGCUGAGGACAUUUCCCCAAGAGAUCCUCGAACCUAUCCCAUGUCUCAAAAAAAACUCCAAUUCCGUUUGCAUAAAAUACGAUAUUUCAUUCCUGAGCUU
Molecule: small nucleolar RNA, 106 nt
Organism: Dioscorea cayenensis subsp. rotundata (Guinea yam)
Lineage: Eukaryota; Viridiplantae; Streptophyta; Magnoliopsida; Dioscoreales; Dioscoreaceae
Source: RefSeq, a predicted model, not a curated record